GAUCUUGUAGGCCAGGAGCAGGCAUAUGGUCUCCACGCUCUGUUUUCCUCUGUCCACGUAGUCUCCCAGGAAUAGAUAAUUGGAAUCCGGCGGAAACCCACCGUACUCGAACAGUCGCAACAGAUGAGCAUCUCGAACAAUAUGAAGGUGAAUGCAUGAAUGAAUAAACUCACCACAGACGUUUAUGGGAGCCUCCAAUUCCAGAAGGUUUGGCUGGCUUAGAAACAGAUCUUUGGCCGUGCUGCAAAGGUUCCGAAUUUCUGACUCCACCAGUUGAAUCCGUUUCCCCCUGUUCUUCCUUACUUCCAAAAGCCUAUCUAUCAAACCAUCCAAUCCUUCCAUUACCCUCCGAUUCUCUUCUCUUCUCUUCUAUUCCCAACAGCUUUUGGUAUCGGAGAGCCAGGUUGUAAAUCUGCGUGAGGAAGAGUGAAAGUGCAUUAUUGUGAGUGUGCAGAUAUGGCUACUGCUGGUGUCAUACCAGGGAAUCUUCCUGUGUUUGAUGGGCAAGGAUACGAGGAUUGACGCAUGAUGGAGGUUAUCUUUGUCUUGUUAGUUAGUUUUAUAUUUAAAUAAUUCUCCUAUUGGAGAACUGGUCUUUUAUUUAGUUGCGUAAGACUCGUCUAUUUCUGUGACAUUUUAUGUUUUACGUUUGUAAUUGUUAUGCACUAGUUCAAAUUCUGUUUUAAGGCUUUUUAUAAGCUUGAUAUGCAUUCUCUAUACCUUUCUAAGUGUGAAAUAUAUCAUUGCAAUAACAAUUUAGAAAAAUUUG
Molecule: long non-coding RNA, 769 nt
Organism: Vigna radiata var. radiata (mung bean)
Lineage: Eukaryota; Viridiplantae; Streptophyta; Magnoliopsida; Fabales; Fabaceae
Exons: 3
Source: RefSeq, a predicted model, not a curated record